This 609-nucleotide long non-coding RNA is filed under the name Mytilus galloprovincialis (Mediterranean mussel). The record is from RNAcentral. Lineage: Eukaryota; Metazoa; Mollusca; Bivalvia; Mytilida; Mytilidae.
UAAUUGUUUUUAAAAUUGUGCAAAGUUCUGUUCGUUUCAACAAGAGUAGUAGAUAUUUCUGGGUUUGAUUUAAACCGAUUUGCCAGGGAUAUAAUUUUUCAUCUGUACAUUUCCUUAAAGCAUGAUUGGUAAUAUCUGCUGAUAACAAGUAAUUGCCAUGAACAUAAAAGAAAGAAGAUAACAGCAGCCAUCCACCUACUGCAUCUGAAUUUGUUCCAAUCAACAGGUGACUCAGUUCCUGUUUGUACUUGUAGUAUUCAUUUUUGUUGUUUGAUCUCGGUUGAUCUUGUGAUAUUUGCGGUAUAUUUUGGAAUGCGAAUGACAGUAUUACAAAAAAAAUGCUUCUUGAUAUGUUUGAUCUUGAAAGAUGUACAAAAUGAUAUAGCAGAUUGAGAGGUCUAUUGGUGAAUUAAAGAUAAAUCGUUCAUUAUUUCGUUCAGCGAUACAACACGUCUACCUAAUGGUGAAUCCAUGACGUUUACUGGAAGUGUCAUUAAAUCAAAUAGAGUUUCCGACAGAGCAAAAGAGUAUAUUCCUUUUUCAAAUAAAUUCUUUAGAAUGCGUUCGAUUUUGUCUUUUUUAUCAACAUCAAAUCGCAUAUACAAUAAG